Molecule: ribosomal RNA, 3648 nt
Filed under: Triticum aestivum (bread wheat)
Lineage: Eukaryota; Viridiplantae; Streptophyta; Magnoliopsida; Poales; Poaceae
Description: partial small subunit ribosomal RNA
Source: RNAcentral
AUGGCGGAGUUCGCACUUGGGCUGACCAAGACGGCGGUGGAGGGGACGCUGAUCAGGGUCAAGUCGGCGAUAGAGGAGGAGGCCAAGCUGAAGGUGAGGGUGCAGCACGACCUGGUGUUCAUCACAGGCGAAUUUCAAAUGAUGCAAUCGUUCCUCAACAUCGCUAACACCGAGCGUGCCAAGAAUGAAGUGGUGCAGACCUGGGUGAGGCAGAUCCGAGACCUUGCCUUUGAUGUCGAGGACUGCGUCGAGUUUGUUGUCCACCUCGACAACAGGUCCACCUGGUCCUGGCUGUGGCGUGUGCUGCCGUCCUGCAUGGCGCCGCCGCUGCCCCUUGACCUGGCGGUCGCUGAGAUAAAACAGCUCAAAGCCAGAGUCGAGGAUGUAAGCCAGAGGAACACGCGCUACAACCUCAUCACUGACUCGGGUUCCAGCUCCUCCAAGCCUGAAGUCUCACUUCCGGUGGUGGUGCCGCCGGCCACUACCGGCUCAGCUUUCCACAUCCUGAACGAGGUGUGGGACGCCAUGGGUAAGCGACGGGGCAUGGGCGACCUCACAACACUCAUCAUGAGUGAGGACACUGGCCUGCUAGUGAUCUCGGUAUGGGGAAGUAGUACCGGAGGUGCAGAUCUUGGGAAGACGUCCAUUUUCAGGAAGGCGUACUGUGAUCUUGAAAUCUGCAAAGAAUUCAAAAAUCGCGCUUGGGUAAAGCUGGUGGAUCCAUUUGACCCCGACGAGUUCCUCAAGAACGUGUUGGCUCAGUUCUUCCCGACAUCUCACCAACCAAAUAAUGCAGAUCAUGUAGACUUCCGCAAAAUGAUGAAGGAGGCGGUGGUUAAGGAAGACAAUCUCAUGAAGGCCGAGCUCAUGCAGCAAGUAAGCGAUGAGCAACGGUAUCUCAUCAUUAUAGAGGAACUAUCUGAUGUGGUACAGUGGGAUGCCAUCAAAAUGUGCCUGCCAGAAAGCAACAAUGGCAGCCGAAUCGUCGUGGCAACACAUGACUUGCGGAUUGCACUUUUGUGCACGGGGAAGCCGUACCAAGUAUGGGACCUCAAACACUUCUCUGAUGGUCAAUCUCUCUGUGCCUUCUCCCUAAAGACACCUGAAUCCGUUGAAGGCAAGCAUUCUUGCAGCAGUGGCAGAACAGAAGAGCUUCACGACCGGGUCGAGAAGUAUCAUGUUUACCGUGGAAUCGAUGAACAUAAAUGCCUUAUGGGAUGUUUAGGAAAUUCUGGUGUGACUUCUAUGUGGGGGAUUGCUGGUGUUGGAAAAACACAUUUCGCCCGGCUUGGAUAUGACGAGAUGCGUCAUAGCUCGAAAUUUAUGAAGUACAUCUGGGUCGACAUGCCAUAUCCGUUCAGUCUGACUGAGUUCUCCAUACACUUACUUUCCGAUUUCCACUCGUAUGAUCUUGAAGCCAAAGAAUCUGCAGCAAUCGGUGUAAUUGAAGGCCAAGAUCCAAUCCAAGAGUGUUGUAAGAUUUUACGUGAAGAAAAGUGCUUCCUUGUUAUAGAUGGUGUACGGUCCACGUAUGACUGGGACUUGAUAAAAGGCGCCUUCCUAACCGACCCUACUCAGAAUAACAAUACCAUCGUGGUCAUUACAAAUGAAGCAAGUAUCGCCAUGCAUUGCACACCUGAGAAAGAUAAAGUCAUAAACAUAAAAUGUUUUAACGCCGGCAAAGCCCGUAUGCUCUUCACGAAGGUAAACUGUGAGCGCAUUCUAUUGACUCCCGAGUUGACGAAGGUUUCAAACAUUAUCGUAACCAAGUGUGGCGGGCUUCCGAAAGUAGUACUAGCUGCUGCUAGCAAAUGCUUCAUACCGAUCUCCAGAUAUGAUGUACUAGAUCACAUGGAGCAUAUGAAAGCUGAUUUUAUGGAUAUUUUGGAGACUGAUCCUACCCUGAACAGUUUAUUUUCUUGGAUGCGGUCAUAUUUUGAUGCUUGCUCGGAUUCAGUCAAGCCAUGUAUCUUCUAUCUGUCAGUCUUUCCUGCAGACCAGGAUGUCAGAAGGAGGCGUCUGCUGAGGCGUUGGAUCGCAGAGGGUUACUCGAGGGACAAAUUUGGUAACACCGCGGAGGAGUACGGGGAAAUUUUGUUCUCCGAGCUUGUCAAGUUGAGCAUAAUCCAUCAGGAAGAAAAUAAGGUCUUGUGCCAAGUCAAUGGUUUCUUCCGUGAAUACAUCAUCUCACGUCCAAUGGAAGAGAACCUUGUAUUUGCAUUGGAGGGACGUUGUAGCCCGAACUCGCAACACACAGGACAACACCUUGUGGUAAGGAGCAGCUGGGACAGGGACAUAACUGUGUUUGAGAGCAUUGAUUUCUCGAGGCUACGGUCUUUGACAGUGUUUGGGGCAUGGAAGUCAUUCUUCAUCUCUACCAAUAUGAGACUGCUACGGGUGCUUGAUCUGGAAAACACGUCAGAUCUAACAGAUGAUGAUAUCAACAAGAUUGAUAAGCUACCACCUCGCCUCAAAUUCCUCUCACUACGAGGAUGCACAAAUGUCAGCCGUCUGCCCAUCUUGUUGGGUGGCCUCAGGCAGCUGCAGACACUUGAUGUCAGGUACACCUCUAUAGUCACACUACCACCAUUUAUCAUCAAGCUGCAAAAGCUACAAUACAUUCGCGCCGGCACUAAGGAUAUGGUGGAGGAAGUAGCACUGGGAGGAGAUGAUGAUUCAUCAACAUCAACAGUGCCACCUGAAGUCGACGGUAUUGGCACGGUCACAAUCAACAACCCACCAACAUCAGCAGGUGUGAUCGAGAUAUCAACAUCGUCAUCCAAGAGGAGGCCUGCACGUACUUUGGUAUCAAGCUGGUUAUCCAAGUUGCGCAGGCGAAAACUUCAUAAUGGCGGUGUUGAGAUCCCUGUAGGUAUCGAGAAAUUGACGGCCUUGCAUAACCUUGGUGUUGUGAGAGUGAAAGGUGCACAUGGGAAGGCCAUCCUGGAGGAGCUCAAGAAGCUAACCCAACUGCGCAAGCUUGGGGUGUCCGGCAUCAACCGUGAUAACUGGCAAGAGUUGUGUUGUGCCAUCUCGGGCCACGGCCAUCUAGAGUCCUUGUCGGUGCAACUCGGCGAGGAUGAGGAGGAGGCCGGUGACUUCUUAGUGUGUUUACCCAAGACCUUAAACUUAAAGAGCCUUAAGAUUUUAGGGGGGCAAUGUCAAAUACCAGCCUGGGUGAAGCAACAGGACAAUUUCAAAAAAAUUGAAAAUUUUGAUCUUGAAUUGACCGUAUCGACGCAAGCCCACAUGGACUUGAUUGAAGAAUUGCCAUGCAAGAAGUUCCGUCGUCUUCGUGUCAAGCCAACUCAAGACGGCGAGCUCCAUUUUGGUAACCCAGCAUUAUAUGGUGAGUGGGAUGCGUUCGUGCCCUUCACCGAGCCACUUGACUUCAAGGUCAUCAAGAUUGAUUGCCGCUACAGGUUAGAGGUAACUUUUGCUCCUUGGUUGCCAUUAUAUGUCAAGUCGCUCAAGGUUCAGUGCUCUAGUGGAUCGUCUCUUCGUCUCUCGGGCCUACAUCGUCUAUGGGGCCUUAAAGAAGUAUGGCUUACGGGUUCAUACGGCGACGAGCUGAAGCAAGAGUUGCAGCAGGAAAUUGCUGUGCAUCAACACAAACCUGUCCUGAAGCUGGAGAAACAACGUUCGUGA